Molecule: ribosomal RNA, 1450 nt
Filed under: metagenome
Description: bacterial LSU rRNA
Rfam family: Bacterial large subunit ribosomal RNA
Source: RNAcentral
UCGGAUUAGUGCGUCGAAGCCCGUAGGGGAGCGGAUAGGCAAAUCCGUCCGCUCAUCACCCGAGGGGCCCUAGGGAAGCGCGCAGAAAUGCAAGCCAACUGGGUGGAUGGACCGCCAAGAAAAGCCUCUAUGAGAGCAAGCUGGAGACCGUACCGCAAACCGCCACAGGUAGGCAGGGAGAGUAUCCCAAGGCGCGCGAGAGAACCCUCCGUAAGGAAUUCGGCAAGUUAGCCCCGUAACUUCGGGAGAAGGGGUGCCUCGUUAGGGUGAAGCGGCUUGCCCGCGGAGCCCGAGGAGGUCGCAGCGAACAGGCCUAGGCGACUGUUUACCACAAACACAGGUCUCUGCUAAAGCGUAAGCUGAUGUAUAGGGGCCGACACCUGCCCAAUGCCAGAAGGUUAAGGGGAAACGUUAGCUUCGGCAAAGCGUAGAACCGAAGCCCUGGUGAAUGGCGGCCGUAACUAUAACGGUCCUAAGGUAGCGAAAUUCCUUGCCGGCUAAAAACCGACCUGCACGAAAGGUGUAACGACCUGGGCGCUGUCUCGCGGAGGGACUCGGCGAAAUUGUAGCACCUGCGAAGAUGCAGGUUACCCGCAACAGGACGGAAAGACCCCGUGGAGCUUUACUAUAGCCUGGUAUUGGUCUCGUGCAAGCCCUGCGCAGGAUAGGCGGGAGGCUUUGAAGCCGGGGCGUCAGCCUCGGUGGAGCCGACGGUGAGAUACCGCUCUUGGCUUGUCUUGAGCCCUAACCCCUGCCGUAAUCCGGUAGGGGGACCGUAUCAGGUGGGUAGUUUGACUGGGGCGGUCGCCUCCUAAAAGGUAACGGAGGCGCCCAAAGGUUCCCUCAGUGCGGUCGGAAAUCGCACGUCGAGUGUAAGGGCAUAAGGGAGCUUAACUGUGAGACCUACAGGUCGAGCAGAUACGAAAGUAGGGCCUAGUGAUCCUGCGGUUCAAAGUGGGAUGGCCGUGGCUCAUCGGAUAAAAGUUACCCCGGGGAUAACAGGCUCAUCUCCCCCAAGCGUCCACAGCGACGAGGAGGUUUGGCACCUCGAUGUCGGCUCGUCGCAUCCUGGGGCUGUAGCAGGUCCCAAGGGUCGGGCUGUCCGCCCGUUAAAGCCGGUACGCGAGCUGGGUUCAGAACGUCGUGAGACAGUUCGGUCCCUAUCCGUUGCGGGCGUAGGAGGCUUGAGAGGCGCUGCUCCCAGUACGAGAGGACCGGAGUGGACUGACCUCUGGUGUACCAGUUGUUCCGCCAGGAGCACACGCUGGGUAGCUAUGUCAGGACCAGAUAACCGCUGAAAGCAUCUAAGUGGGAAACUGACCUCAAGAUUAGGCCUCCGCAGGGUUAACCUGAUAAGACCCCACGUAGACCACGUGGUUGAUAGGCCGGGUGUGUAAGGCCAGCAAUGGCUUCAGCUUACCGGUACUAAUCGGUCGAAUCGCUUCAUAUG